This 372-nucleotide ribosomal RNA is filed under the name Dermacentor variabilis (American dog tick). Its description in RNAcentral is "partial 16S ribosomal RNA". The stretch from base 72 to 372 matches the Rfam family "Bacterial large subunit ribosomal RNA", at positions 2074 to 2630 of the family's 2925-position model. Lineage: Eukaryota; Metazoa; Arthropoda; Arachnida; Ixodida; Ixodidae. The record is from RNAcentral.
UAUACGCUGUUAUCCCUUGAGUAUUUUUCUCAAAUAAUCAUUAAUAAUGGGUCCCGGAUUAUAUUAAACUGGGCUGGGCAAGCCCUCCCUAUGAAUUUUAAAAUAAUUAAUUUCUUAUAAGAAAUUAAUUAUUUUUAGUUGGGGCAACUAGAAAAUAUUAUAACCUUUUUAUAUAAUAAAAUGACCCAUUAUUAAUGAUCACUUGGGAAAAAUACUCUAGGGAUAACAGCGUAAUAAUUUUUGAUAGAACCUAUAGACAAAAUAGUUUGCGACCUCGAUGUUGGAUUAGGAUACUUUUUUAAUGAAGAUGUUAAAAAAAGAAGUUUGUUCAACUUUUAAAGUCCUACUUGAUCUGAGCUCAGACCGGACCGG